UUUUGGGGGUUCCCCAUACUUAGAACUGAAACUCAAAAAAUCUUUUUUCAUCAAACCCAUACGUGUGGGGUAUCUAUGGAUAGGUCUUUAAAAAUGAUAUAGAGGUUUUUUCUAAACUGAAUAGUUUGCGCGAGAGACACUUCCAAAGUGGUAAAA
Molecule: long non-coding RNA, 156 nt
Organism: Cydia pomonella (codling moth)
Lineage: Eukaryota; Metazoa; Arthropoda; Insecta; Lepidoptera; Tortricidae
Exons: 2
Source: RefSeq, a predicted model, not a curated record